Molecule: long non-coding RNA, 4441 nt
Organism: Onychostoma macrolepis
Lineage: Eukaryota; Metazoa; Chordata; Actinopteri; Cypriniformes; Cyprinidae
Exons: 3
Source: RefSeq, a predicted model, not a curated record
ACACACACACACACACACACACACAUGCGCUGGAGAGAGAGAGCGAGAGAGCGAGAGAGAGGAGAGGCAGUCGGAAAGCAGGUCUGGGUGCCAGCGCACAUAAAGCGAGUGUUUUCACUCGAGAAAUAAAAAGGCCUGGGUUUUUCUGCGCCGCUGGUGGAAUCUGCACAUUUCAUUGAAACAGCACAACAAGCGCCGGUGAAGUUUCCCAGACUGCAUCUGGGCCGCUGCGAACAUCUGCCGUUUGUUUGGGUUUGGACGUGCGUGUUUGCGGAUCAACUGUAAAAUCAUAUUUCCGAGGUUCUGUGUAAUUUUCAAAUUAUUCUAUGUUGGGGAUGAGAAGGAAAAUGACGAACGGAUGCAGAACGAAGCUCUAAAAAUAGAUUUUAGAAAAUGCAUUCGCUGGGUAGGUUUUUGACUUUUUUUCCUUCUUAAAAAUGUAAUAAAAUUAAAUUAAAUAAUAUUUAAGAUUCACAUAUUUUGAGUUACAUAUAAAAUUCCCAUUCAUUUUGAUUACACAGUUUUAACACACAAACUAAUACUAAUGUGAUACAUAUUUGUCAGUCAUAUAUAAAUGAAACCAUGGCAAAAAAAAAAAAAAUCACGGCAUAGUUUCUUAUUAACUAGUUGCAUCUAUUUGAUUAUUUUAAAAUGCAUUCAUCCAAAUGGUUGGGAAUCAGCAUAAAUCUGUUCAUUGUGAAAAUAAUUACAUUUAUUCAGUAUGAACAUGGUUAAAAUAUGGCUAUAGUGACAGUAUUAAAUUAGUUGAAAUGUAUAGAGAUUGACACAAAGAAAUAUAUAAACCUGCUUAUUGUGUAUUUAAAACCCAUACUAUUACAUAAAUCCUGUAUGAUUGACAAAUAUGCAUCACAUUAAGUUUAUUAGUUUGCUAAAGCUGUGUAAUCCAAAUAGAUGGAAACUGCACAUGCAAUCCAACUAUAAAUCUUAAAAGGAUAGUUUCCCCAAAAAUAAAAAAAUGUAUGUCGUUCCAAACCUGUACGAGUUUCUUUUUUCUGUCGAACACAAGAGAAGAUGUUUUGAAGAGUGAGUUUAACCCAAACAGUUGACGGUAGCCAUUGACUUUCAUAGUAUUUUUAUUGGACCAGCAACUGUUCUUCAAAUGACCUGUUUGGAACAACUCGAGGGUGAGUAAUACUGACAGAAUUUUUGGGUGAACUAUCCCUUUAAAUCCAGGCCUGAAUAUGUCCAAAAACAAACAAAACAAAGUCUUUCCCAACACUGCAGGAGUGGAUGAGUCCAUUGCUAUUUUGAAAUGCAAUCCACCUCAUGCUCAAAAACAAACACGUCUUUCUGAAUGAAAUCACAUGUUGUUUGCAGCUGUUGAACAGUAUGUUUUCGGGUAACACCCCGUUCGUUGCUGCUACCAGAUGACCUCAAUGUUGAUCGAUUGCCAGCGUUUAGAGUGUGGCGGUACUUUCAGAAAGAGGUGGCUUCUGGGUAAUGCUCAUCAGCCAACUCCAUGUUGUGACGUUCAGGUGUGUGGAGUUUAUUUCAUGCUGCUGGAUUCGGUUCGGGAACACUCACAUCGCACUUCAUUUUUCUGCCCGAGUUGAAGUGUCAAUGAUGCUUGAAGAUUUAUAAGCUUGUUUUGUUCGUCCUCCAAAGUCCUCGCGCUUUGUUUACUUGUACUCUUCGUUAUCUGUCUUGGAUUAUUCAUGCAGAGCAGCUCCAAAGCUUCCAGGAAUCCUUUCAACGAAUUAUAUAACAGCAUGUCAAAAGCUGGCUUUUGGGAAAUCUUGGUGAGAAGCGGUGAAGAAAGUUUCCUAGUCAAAAAAAAACAGCAAGCAUACAGUAUCCGUGACAAGAGCAGCUUCAUUUGUACUGUUCUGCUAUCAGACGAAUGCAUUCCACAUUGAGAGGGAGUUUCUGCAUUCCCAGACGAGAGCUGAUGUUUCACAGUCGUCCAGUUCUUCUUGAAUGGAUAGAUGGAAGAACUAAUAAAUCUCGGCGCUCAUGUUCGGCUGAUGAAUGAUCGUCUCGCGGAGCGCCAGAGGACGAGAGCUGCAGAAUCCCCUGAGCAGCUGCUCUGAAAGAUCAAGAAGAUACUGGAGGAUACUGAGCAUCAGCAGACGUCUAAUUCUCUGACGAGCGUCUAGACAGCUGCAGGAGCCGAGUAACACACCCAGCUCAGUCGGGAGGCUCAGUUAAUCGCUUGUUUUGGCAUGACGAGGACUUAGAGCCGGAGCUGAGGGGAGAGAGCUCAGAAAACUGCUAGAUCCUGUGGGUCUGUGCUGAACGCUCACUCUUCACAGUCAGAGAGUCAAUACAGUCAUUGCUUUUCAAGUAAUGCCGCUCUGUUUGGACGGUUUUGGUUCUUGGGUUGUUAUUAAGCAGAUGAAACUCCCAGCGCUGACACGUGAUUGGCUGUCCUCUGUCCUCUCCUCCUCCUCUUCUUUGAUUGGACUGGUAUGUUCCCUGUGGGGGACAUUAAUGAAUCAUCAUAAGACAUCAAUAAUUGACAGAAGCACAGAUUCCAGAUGUUUGCUGAGUGGAUGAGGUCAGUGAGGAUGUGCAUGUCAUGACAUGCGGUCGCAUAAUGCUGUCAAACAUUAACCAGCAAUAAGUGCAUCAAUGCAUCUCAGUGGCACAAACACACAUGUAGCAAAGGCUACAAAAUAUAACAAUUUUGUAUCUUUUUGUAUUUACUCCCUCAUGUUGUUUCUUUGAAGAACACAAAAAGAUACAUUUUAGCAAUCAUCUUAAUCUCCGAGCUGCUGUUGUCAUAAAAUGAAAGCAGAGAAAGCAGUCUUAAAUUCAGCGUGAUCAACUUUAAGGUCAUAAAAUUUUAAAUGGUAUAAUACAAGUCUUAGUGAUCAUUUUAAGAUGUCUUAAGUUUGGGAAUGGAAAAAAACAGUAAUCUUGAUAUGGCCUAAUGUGACCCUUAAACUUCAGAAGUAGUGUUUAAUGAAAUAAAUGUGAGCUCUGCGUGUUCAAAGUAUAAAGCUGGCGCUGUUCUUUUGGCUCGCCGUUUCUGAGCAGUUCGCUUUUAUGUAUGCCAGAGUGAUUGCUUAUGAUCUACUCCUGAUGAAUUUUGACAGUGUUUAGCGUAUGGUUUUUAUAUUAUAUAUGUUAUUUUAAAUAACAGUUUUAUCUGCCUCAUUUGUUUUAAUAAUCAGCUAAAAAUAAUAGAGCAAAGACAUUUCAAAAUAAGAGUCAACUCAUUCGUAUAUUAGUACAUUUUCAGUACAUAAGCCUAUAUAAACCAAUUUCAAUACUGUAUCGAAUAAACGUGCCUUGGGUAUCUUAAACCUGCUUUGCUAAUAAGCAACAGUAAGUCCUCAUUAAAUGUGUGCACCAACCUGUUUAAUUCAGUAAAAUAAUCUGAGAGACACAAAUUUGAUCUGUGAUGGUAAACCGUUAAUGACAGAAUUAUUUUGUCUGUGCGUGUCUCUUUAAGACGGAAGCUGUAUGAUUCUAAUCGUGUCGGUGUAUGUGAUGGAUUGAGUCUAACAGAUUGAGGCGGUCGACUGAUUCAGGGGAGGACGUCUGUGGAGAGACUCUUCAUGAAUAGACACUUUGACAGAUGUCCCAUUUCCCCUGCCUUUCAGUAAGCACUAGAAAUUUUCAGACAUCUCCAGAAAUAAUAACCAAAUGAGCGUUCCCUCUGGACUUUUCUACCUUUCAACACAUCACUGUCGUUUCUGCCAAAUGCUUAUGGCAGAUAUGCAUAUGCCAUAUGUGCCAUGUGUGGACUCUGAUCAAAUAUUCUAGACACACCAGAUGUUAGACCUAAUCUGUAAAAAUCACAGUGUACACUCCUCUGUAGUUAGGCCUGUGUUGUAAUUGUUGCAGAGAUUAUUUGGCAUUGUGAAAACAGGUCACCUGACCCUGGUAAGUAAAUGCACCUUUUAAGAAUCAAUUUGUCAAUUAUCAUUGGAAGUCUUUCUUUUGAAACUUGCGCAGCCUUUGAAUACAUGGGGCCAAGUGUCUCCUUCACAAGAGAAUUAAAAGGUCAGAAAGUGUGCCAGACUUCUUCUCUCAAGCUGGCUAGAAAAUGAUGUGCAGUUAUACCCUGUAAUAAUAAUCUAAAAUUAGAUGAUAAUGAAAUAAAAACUCUUUUUGAAUGACAAAAAUCUAUUGACAUUUUCGUCAACGAAUAAAAACGAGACGAAAAUGUUAAGGAGGGCGCAAUGUUACGCUCUGAUCAUACGUUUGCCUACGCUUGCUGCACAAUUCGAAUUUUGUACAUAAAUAUUAUCAAUAUUCGAAUUAUAUUCUAAUUUAAAAGGCAUAAUUUCAGUUAGAGGGAAAAAAAGCUUUUGGCUUCUCUCUUGAGGCCACAAGAGGGCGCAUCGAGCAAAAUAUUACUAAUGCACGUUUCUUCAAAGCAAUAAAAUAACACGACUAUCUUUGAAAAAAGUGCAUAAUGUUUAAAAUAAUGUUUAUUAACCAUAUAGAAUUAAUUAAGUUGCUUAAACAU